CUUUUCCUCACUUUUUCUCAUACCAUUUACUUCGCUUUUUCUCCUUCUCCUUCUCCUUCUCCUUCUCAUCUCUCUCUCUCUCUCUCUCUCUCUCAGCAUGAAAGAGAGAGGAAAGCAUUCAGAGGUGAAACUCAGGCAUAAGUUUCUUCAAGGCAUUCAUGAAGUUAAAAUCAUGAACAACGCCACCAUCUGCAACGCUUCCAGUGGUGGGUUUUUGGCUGGCUUCUCGUUUGGGGCUAAAAGUCCCUUUGGAAUGGUGGUUGGUUCAUGUUGAUGGGGUGCUAUCCUACCUGAGCUUUUUCUAUUAUUUUCCUUUUUAUUUUUUUUCUUACUUUUGUUUUUAAUCUUCUUGACCUUGUAAGACCUUUUCUUGACCUUGUAAGACCCCUUUUUAUGUUUAUUUAUCUUAAUUUUUGUAUUGUCAUAAAUUCUAUAUCAAAAUUUUUUGAUAUAGAAUUUCAUGUUUAUUUUUUUCUGUUUUUGCCCAACUCAUAUUCUCCUUCCUUGUCUAUCCCUCCUGAGCUAUUUGAAUAAAAUUAUUAUGCUAAUUAUUCAGAAAAUCACCCAAUUGAAGAGUCGUUAGAAGCCUUUCAAAAUCUAUGCAAGCUAUGGAUCGGAGCCUUUGUUUUUAUGCAAGUUUACUUUUGUUUGGUUCAAGUAAAAUUUGGCAGGAGAAGAAGGAAAAAAUAUCUUUUGGGUGGUAUCUGAGGCAGACUUAUAAAAGAGUACUGGAAGCACUAGUGAGAACUGAGAACAACUUGGCCUUUUGUUCGCGGCGUCAGUUUCGUUGUUUUAUAUGUUGUUGGCUGAGAAAGUAAGAGAAUAAAUAUUCUCUCAGGUCUGCGUAAAGACUUCUCCUCGUGACUGCUCUAGCUCAUGUACAAAAGUAUGUGCACUGUAUUAUUGGAGGGUUCCUCCCUCACUCUCUCUCUCUCUCUCUCUCUAAGGACCUUUUGUACCCAGAAAAGUUGUUCAUGAAAAAAAAAAAGCUGAUUACCUACAGUGAGAAGCGUUUUUUUCACACCUCAUAAAUGUCAAGACCAUACAGAGAUGUAAAGUCUUUUUUUUUCUUUUGAACUUGUUUCUUCUUUUACACAAGACAAGUGGGAUAAUACUACAUGAGCUCAAUUUGGCAGUUGAUAUGCCCUAA
This is a long non-coding RNA of Manihot esculenta (cassava), 1150 nucleotides long. RefSeq lists it as uncharacterized. The record is from RefSeq and is a predicted model, not a curated record. The transcript is spliced from 3 exons. Lineage: Eukaryota; Viridiplantae; Streptophyta; Magnoliopsida; Malpighiales; Euphorbiaceae.